Molecule: long non-coding RNA, 813 nt
Organism: Diceros bicornis minor
Lineage: Eukaryota; Metazoa; Chordata; Mammalia; Perissodactyla; Rhinocerotidae
Exons: 3
Source: RefSeq, a predicted model, not a curated record
UUUUCCAGUUACACUCUGAGGAUCUUCAGGCGGCCGCGAAGGCCUCAGAUUGCAGUGGAUUCUGUCAUCUCUGAGAAUGGGACCUGUCAUGCCACCUUGAGAUGUUCUGUGGAGGAAGGAGGAGAGAAUGUCAUAUAUGGGUGGACAUCAAUGGGACCAGGAGCUAUUGUGUCCCAGGGAGGAUCCAUCCUCAAUGACUCCUGGAUCCCUGAUGAUCUGGAUCAGAACUACGCCUGCACAGCUGUGAACCCUGUUAGCAAUAGCACCUCCAGCCUCAUCUUUGUUAAGCAGCUUUGUGCAGGUUCCAAGGCAGUUAUAGGUACUUACUGCCCAGUGACAUGGAUUCUGCUGGGGAAGGGGCUCCUUCUCCUCAUGUUCCUGGCGGUUCUAGGAACUUGGCACAUCCAGACACAUGUGUUCAGCAAACCCCUUAUGUCUAACUCAGGGCUAUGAAGGCCACCAGUGCCCCAGGAGAGCCUGGAUGAGGCCAUUACUUCUCUGUGGCUCACUUAAAUUACAUUACUGACCUGUACUCUUUUCAAGGUGUAGUACUAUGGAUUGUCAAAGACCAAUGGGAUAAAAUUUCAUAUCUUGCAUUUGUGAGCCCAUGUGCCCAAUGUGGAAGUUUGGACAAAAAUAGAUACAAUAACUGUAUCAAUACCAUAUGUUAUCUAUUCUGAGAAGAAAUUUCUCCCAUAACUUAAGUUUUCUGGAAUCAGGAUGAGUCAUAAUGUUAAUGAGUAUAGCUAAAAGGGAUAGUGUAUUUUUCUCUUGAAAUGCUGUUAUCAAAAUAAUACUGUUUUUAAAAAUCAA